UACGUAGGGUGCAAGCGUUGUCCGGAUUUAUUGGGCGUAAAGAGCUCGUAGGCGGUUUGUCGCGUCGGAUGUGAAAACCCAGGGCUCAACCCUGGGCCUGCAUUCGAUACGGGCAGACUAGAGUAUGGCAGGGGAGACUGGAAUUCCUGGUGUAGCGGUGAAAUGCGCAGAUAUCAAGAGGAACACCAGUGGCGAAGGCGAGUCCCUGGACAACUUCUGACGCUGAGGCACGAAGGCUAGGGGAGCAAACAGG
This 253-nucleotide ribosomal RNA is filed under the name uncultured bacterium. Its description in RNAcentral is "partial 16S ribosomal RNA". It matches the Rfam family "Bacterial small subunit ribosomal RNA", at positions 524 to 776 of the family's 1533-position model. The record is from RNAcentral.